UUAGAGUUUGAUCCUGGCUCAGGACGAACGCUGGCUGCGUGCUUAACACAUNCAAGUCGAACGNUGAAGCCUGGUGCUUGCACCGGGUGGAUGAGUGGCGAACGGGUGAGUAACANGUGAGUAACCUGCCCCUGACUUCGGGAUAAGCCCGGGAAACUGGGUCUAAUACCGGAUANGACUGCCGGACGCAUGUCUGGUGGUGGAAAGUUUUUUCGGUUGGGGAUGGGCUCGCGGCCUAUCAGUUUGUUGGUGAGGUAAUGGCUCACCAAGACGACGACGGGUAGCCGNCCUGAGAGGGCGACCGGCCACACUGGGANUGAGACACGGCCCAGACUCCUACGGGAGGCAGCAGUGGGGAAUAUUGCACAAUGGGGGAAACCCUGAUGCAGCGACCGCAGCGUGCGGGANGACGGCCUUCGGGUUGUAAACCGCUUUCAGCAGGAAGAAGCGCAAGU
Molecule: ribosomal RNA, 455 nt
Filed under: Brevibacterium casei
Lineage: Bacteria; Bacillati; Actinomycetota; Actinomycetes; Micrococcales; Brevibacteriaceae
Description: bacterial SSU rRNA
Rfam family: Bacterial small subunit ribosomal RNA
Source: RNAcentral